ACUACCAAAUUUAUUUUAAAAAAGGUCUAAUAAACAGUGUUCGUUAUUCAUCUUGAAUCUCGGUUUAUAAAGUGUUUUAAAAUGAUCAAUCAUGAGAUGGUUGUGGGUAUUUGCGUAUUUACGUUACGUUUACCUGACCCCGAAUUAUUGAGAAUCCAUUUAAGGAUGGAGACGCUACAAGGAUCAAGACGGACAAUGCACAUGGUUCAGUUUUUAUUUAACAUAAUUAGAAUCAAAUAAAACUCUUACAAUUGGUUUGUAAACUUCUGGGCGUAUAGAUGUAUUGCACGUGUGGCCUUGUGGUUUGAAUUAAGUGACAUCAAACUAUAAAAAUGAUAAAAUUAGACGUCGCACGUCGAGAUAUGAGUUAUUAAAAAAAUAAAAACACUAUUUCCUUUAUAGUAUUUUAUACAAAUUCACAAGAAGAUCGUAUCAUCUGAAAUACCUAAAGAAAAACAAGAAAACACCUAUUACAAUAUCUAUCGUAUAUGGUACAGGAAAUUAAAGCAAUAUUGUAAAAAAAAUGUCUAUGAAGUUAGUCCUCAACGUUGGACAUGUAUCAAUAUUUUAUUUUAUUUACGAAGUAUCUAUAGAACUGAAUUCGUUUUUCACUGAAACAGGUUCUGGAGCUCAGAAAAGUGUUUUCCGAAUGUGAUGAUUAGUAUAAAAUAUUUACA
This is a long non-coding RNA of Aphis gossypii (cotton aphid), 677 nucleotides long. RefSeq lists it as uncharacterized. The transcript is spliced from 4 exons. The record is from RefSeq and is a predicted model, not a curated record. NCBI's taxonomy places the organism in Eukaryota, Metazoa, Arthropoda, Insecta, Hemiptera, Aphididae.